ACGGAAGGCAGCAGUGGGGAAUAUUGCACAAUGGGGGAAACCCUGAUGCAGCGACGCCGCGUGAGUGAAGAAGUAUUUCGGUAUGUAAAGCUCUAUCAGCAGGGAAGAAAAUGACGGUACCUGACUAAGAAGCCCCGGCUAACUACGUGCCAGCAGCCGCGGUAAUACGUAGGGGGCAAGCGUUAUCCGGAUUUACUGGGUGUAAAGGGAGCGUAGGUGGCCAUGCAAGUCAGAUGUGAAAUCCCGGGGCUCAACCCCGGAGCUGCAUUUGAAACUGCGUAGCUAGAGUGCAGGAGAGGUAAGCGGAAUUCCUAGUGUAGCGGUGAAAUGCGUAGAUAUUAGGAGGAACACCAGUGGCGAAAGCGGCUUGCUGGACUGCAACUGACACUGAGGCUCGAAAGCGUGGGGAGCAAACAGGAUUAGAUACCCUGGUA
This 434-nucleotide ribosomal RNA is filed under the name uncultured Clostridiales Family XIV bacterium. RNAcentral's name for it is "bacterial SSU rRNA". It matches the Rfam family "Bacterial small subunit ribosomal RNA", at positions 341 to 792 of the family's 1533-position model. The record is from RNAcentral. Lineage: Bacteria; Bacillati; Bacillota; Clostridia; Eubacteriales; Clostridiales Family XIV. Incertae Sedis.